This 842-nucleotide ribosomal RNA is filed under the name uncultured bacterium. RNAcentral describes it as "bacterial SSU rRNA". It matches the Rfam family "Bacterial small subunit ribosomal RNA", at positions 21 to 872 of the family's 1533-position model. The record is from RNAcentral.
GGCUCAGGACGAACGCGGGCGGCGUGCCUAACACAUGCAAGUCGAACGGGAUCCAUGGAGUGCUUGCACUCUUGAAGAUCUAGUGGCGAACGGGUGAGUAACACGUGAGAAACCUGCCCCAGACUCUGGGAUAACCUCGGGAAACCGAAGCUAAUACCGGAUAUUCUCCUUUGGUCGCAUGGCCAGUUGAGGAAAGUUUUUCGGUCUGGGAGGGUCUCGCGGCCUAUCAGCUAGUUGGUGAGGUAACGGCUCACCAAGGCUACGACGGGUAGCUGGUUUGAGAGAACGAUCAGCCACACUGGAACUGAGACACGGUCCAGACUCCUACGGGAGGCAGCAGUGGGGAAUCUUGCGCAAUGGGCGAAAGCCUGACGCAGCAACGCCGCGUGCGGGAUGAAGGCCCUCGGGUUGUAAACCGCUUUCAGCAGGGACGAAAAUGACGGUACCUGCAGAAGAAGCCCCGGCUAACUACGUGCCAGCAGCCGCGGUAAUACGUAGGGGGCAAGCGUUGUCCGGAUUUAUUGGGCGUAAAGAGCUCGUAGGCGGUUCCGUAAGUCGAGUGUGAAAAAUCUGGGCUCAACCCAGUGGAGCACUCGAUACUGCGGUGACUAGAGUACGGUAGAGGAGUGUGGAAUUCCUGGUGUAGCGGUGAAAUGCGCAGAUAUCAGGAGGAACACCAACGGCGAAGGCAGCACUCUGGGCCGGUACUGACGCUGAGGAGCGAAAGCGUGGGGAGCAAACAGGAUUAGAUACCCUGGUAGUCCACGCCGUAAACGUUGGGCACUAGGUGUGGGGAGGAAUCAACCCUCUCCGUGCCGUAGCUAACGCAUUAAGUGCCCCGC